UUGACGGUAGGAAAACAACGUUUCUGAUAUGGAGUGAGACCCCUGCACUCCCCUGACAGUACGACUCCCCCUCCACAGUAAGCAGCCGUGCCUUUACCAGUUGAGACCCUCUGGGACCGCUGCACUCCUCUGACUGUAUGACUCACCCUGCACAACUUGCGGCCAUACCUUUACCAGAUGAGACACUCUGGAACCCCUGCAUUCCCCUGACUAUACGACUCACCCUGCACACUAUGCGCCCGUGCCUUUACCAGGACCUUGCUCAUGAAUGCAAGUCCUUAAUUUUAAACUUUGAAAACAAUGUGGGCAAAGUCCAAUCCAAUGGUGUGGUUCUCAUGGCUAGUGGUUUUACUUUGUCAAGCCUUAUGAUUCAGCAUCAAGAGCAAGGAAGAAGAAAGACACUCAAGGGUUUGGUGAUGAAAGCCGAGGCCCAACUACAGGUGACAACAUCUGGAAGUUUUUAUGGAGUCUCCGAUAUUUCUGAAUCUUAAUUGCCUUGUGGAACGACUUAAUGAUGUUUUGCAUGAUACUUGCCGGACGGCGAAACAAACAGUAAAUAAUAUGCUGGUUGUUUGGAUCAUAAGAAGUAGAGGAGCGUAGAAAACAUCAAACUAACCACGUAGAUCAUUAUUUAAGCUAGAAAUGUUUUUUAUUCUUAAGAAUUUAUGGACGUGGGGCUAGUUAAGGUUCUACCCGCAUUUGUUGGGAUUUAUAUUCAUAAUUCUUUCCAAUGGUACAUACAGUGGCUCUCAAAAGUAUUCACCCUCCUUGGAC
This is a long non-coding RNA of Polyodon spathula (Mississippi paddlefish), 774 nucleotides long. RefSeq lists it as uncharacterized. The transcript has 8 exons. Lineage: Eukaryota; Metazoa; Chordata; Actinopteri; Acipenseriformes; Polyodontidae. The record is from RefSeq and is a predicted model, not a curated record.